CUCCUCUCCGCAAGAGAACUACAAGUGAAAAACUUCAAACUCAAAGGACUUGGCGGUGUCCCAUAUCGACCUAGAGGAGCCUGUCCUAUAAUCGAUACUCCCCGCUCUACCUAACCUCAACUAGCACCCCACAGCCUAUAUACCGCCGUCGACAGUCUACCCCAUGAGGGCCCAACAGUAGACACAAUAGCCCAACCGCUAACACGUCAGGUCAAGGUGUAGCACAUGCUGAGGAAGAGAUUGGCUACAUUUUUUACAUUAAAAAACACGAAAUGCAACAUGAAACCCUGCAUGAAGGUGAAUUUAGUAGUAAGAUCUAAUGAGAGUAUUUAUCUUAACAACGCUCUGGGACGCGCACACACCGCCCGUCA
This 371-nucleotide ribosomal RNA is filed under the name Eremias velox (rapid racerunner). RNAcentral's name for it is "partial 12S ribosomal RNA". It matches the Rfam family "Bacterial small subunit ribosomal RNA", at positions 875 to 1399 of the family's 1533-position model. The record is from RNAcentral. Lineage: Eukaryota; Metazoa; Chordata; Lepidosauria; Squamata; Lacertidae.